This 228-nucleotide long non-coding RNA is filed under the name Ananas comosus (pineapple). RNAcentral's name for it is "long non-coding RNA (ACOM_LNC027079)". Lineage: Eukaryota; Viridiplantae; Streptophyta; Magnoliopsida; Poales; Bromeliaceae. The record is from RNAcentral.
AAUAUGUUGUGUUGUGAAGAGCAUACAUAAUAUUUAUGGUUUGUUAUAUUUCAUACAAGAGUUACAUGAUAAAUGAUGCCUUCUUUCUAAAUAUAAAAAAUGAAAGAUUUACAUAUAAGAGUUGUAAAAAAAGUGUCGUUGAAUUACAUGACAUUAGCUGUUUACAUACAAGAGUUUGGUAGGUGGAGUCAUAUAUUCGAUAUGAGAUUUGUAGGAUGAAUCUUUAUG